UACGUAGGGUGCAAGCGUUAUCCGGAAUUAUUGGGCGUAAAGAGCUCGUAGGCGGUUUGUCGCGUCUGCUGUGAAAACCGGAGGCUCAACCUCGGGUCUGCAGUGGGUACGGGCAGACUGGAGUGCGGUAGGGGAGAAUGGAAUUCCUGGUGUAGCGGUGGAAUGCGCAGAUAUCAGGAGGAACACCGAUGGCGAAGGCAGUUCUCUGGGCCGUAACUGACGCUGAGGAGCGAAAGCGUGGGGAGCGAACAGG
This 253-nucleotide ribosomal RNA is filed under the name uncultured bacterium. RNAcentral's name for it is "partial 16S ribosomal RNA". It matches the Rfam family "Bacterial small subunit ribosomal RNA", at positions 524 to 776 of the family's 1533-position model. The record is from RNAcentral.